CUGGGGCUGUAGCCGGUCCCAAGGGUAUGGCUGUUCGCCAUUUAAAGUGGUACGUGAGCUGGGUUUAAAACGUCGUGAGACAGUUUGGUCCCUAUCUGCAGUGGGCGUUGGAAGUUUGAGGGGGGCUGCUCCUAGUACGAGAGGACCGGAGUGGACGAACCUCUGGUGUACCGGUUAUCACGCCAGUGGUAUCGCCGGGUAGCUAUGUUCGGGAGAGAUAACCGCUGAAAGCAUCUAAGCGGGAAACUUGCCUCAAGAUGAGACUUCCCAGGGACUUGAUCCCUCUAAAGGUUCGUUGAAGACCACAACGUUGAUAGGUCGGGUGUGGAAGCGCAGUAAUGCGUUAAGCUAACCGAUACUAAUUGACCGUGAGGCUUGAUCCUAUAACCUUA
This 392-nucleotide ribosomal RNA is filed under the name Betaproteobacteria bacterium CG2_30_59_46. RNAcentral's name for it is "bacterial LSU rRNA". It matches the Rfam family "Bacterial large subunit ribosomal RNA", at positions 2547 to 2925 of the family's 2925-position model. The record is from RNAcentral. Lineage: Bacteria; Pseudomonadati; Pseudomonadota; Betaproteobacteria.